Molecule: RNA transcript, 10006 nt
Organism: Lotus japonicus
Lineage: Eukaryota; Viridiplantae; Streptophyta; Magnoliopsida; Fabales; Fabaceae
Exons: 6
Source: RefSeq, a predicted model, not a curated record
UAAAUCAAUUCGUACCGGUUUUAUAAAUAUCUUCCCUAUAUAUCUAAUAAUCCAUCCUCAUCCUCUGUGACUCACGUUCACUCCCUCCUUUUCUUUCAUUGUCACGUUUCUUUCUUUCUCUUGCAGUAGACCAUAAUUUUUCUUUCUUAUUCUUCUUCUUCUCUAUUUCUAUAUAUAUAUAUCUCACCACUUGUUGCAACUCACGUUCUCUCUCUCAGAAGCAUCACCACCAGACUUCAAUAUUUAUUCAUUUCCUUUCUUUUCAUUUCUUUUGCUGCAGCUCACCAAUUCUUUCCACUUAUUCUUCCUCUCUUUUCUUUCCCCUGGGCAGCAUAAAAAAACGCACAUCAUGGUCCCUUUUCCUCCCUCACGUGAUUCCUCUCUUGUGCAGCACCAUCAUCUUCAUCUUCCAAUUUUAUGGGUACGAAGGACGAAAGCGCCUUGCGACGAAGCUAAAGAAUAGAAGGAAGCGAGCCGACGCGGAAAACAAAGAUGUGAUAGGAUUGGAGUUGCAGUUUAAGAAGAAAAUUGGCUAAGGCUUCUGCCGAGUGAACUUAUUGAGACGUGUGUCUCCGUUUUCUGAGAGGCUUCGGCCGUUUACUGGUUUCUGUCGUUACUGCUUCCUAGUGGAUGGAACAUGUGGUUACUUUGGAUUGGUCCUUGGUUGGGCUUUGUUGUUGUCUGACUUGGCAUAUAGGGCUUGAGUCAAGUGGCGAUGAGGAGGUGUGUCCUAUCAUUGUCCCAUCUUGCGAGAUGCUAAGUGGCGAUCAGGAGGUGUGUCCUAUGAUUGUCCCGUCUUGUGUGACGUUAAGUGGCGAUUAGGAGGCGUGUCCUAUGAUUGUCCCGUCAUGUAUGACGUUAUAAGUGGCGAUGAGGAGGUGUGUCCUAUCAUUGUCCCGUCUUGAGAGACGAUAUUGAUCGAUCCAUUUUGUUAGCGACAUAUAGUUGAAUUAUAGGGAACUAACACCCGACCCUAUGUUGGAUUUUCGUAUUGGGUUACUGAUAUCUGAUUUGAUGUUACAUUGUUGAGGUUAUUAUUAUCUGAGUUCGAUAUAUGUUUAAGUUGUUGAUAUAUGAGUUGAGUUAUGUUGCUAGUUAUUUACCAUGCCAGGUAAUUAAAUUCGAACAACAUGAUUUUCUCUUUUAUACAUGGUAAUUGCAUGGAGUUAACCCUUUCUAUUUGCUACUGAAGGUGUGAAAAACGACUAGAAGGGGGGGUUGAAUAGCGUUUUCAAUAUAAAAACUUUCCCCUUAAGUUUUAAAGUAAAUCUUUUCGGUUUCUCUAAGAUAGAUGGUGCAGCGGAUAAAGAUAGAGAGAAGAGAGAAGCACACAAGUAUUUUAUCCUGGUUCACUUGAUAAAUCCCUCAAGCUAAUCCAGUCCACCCGUUAAGGUGAUUUCUUCCUUCUUAGAAUGAAGGCAAUCCACUAAUCAGAUAAUUGUUACAACUGCACUUGAAACCUACAAGUGACUAACAAUACACUGACUUAGCUCACACUAAGAUUCACUCUCUUAGUCUUCUCUAGGAUCCGAUCAACCUUGAUCUCCUAAAGGAAUCACCACUAAGAUUCACUCUCUUAGUCUUCUCUAGGAUCCGAUCAACCUUGAUCUCCUAAAGGAAUCACCACUAAGAUUCACUCUCUUAGUCUUCUUAAGGAUACUGACCUACCCGGUCCCUUAAGGAAAAUCAAACAACUGUUUGAGGUUGGUGUUUACAAAGGUUUGCUUCUAAAUAAGCUGAGUGUAAACUAAAUAAGAACAGAUGAAGAAAGUAGAGGCUUGAAUCUUUUCUUGUAUUGCAGCUCUGGGUUUCUCUCACUCUUCUCGCUCUCUUUUUCUUUCUUCUUUUCUUCAGCCUUUUAUAGUCCAAGGUGCAAAGGAUAUUUCUGUUGAGAGAAUAUGACCGUUGGAGGGCAUUUCUGGAACUUCCAGAACCUGCAGUGGCUGAACUUUGGUAGGUAGGCAUUUCAGAAUAGUACACUGCUCUUGUACUUCUCGAUAGAGACAUUUGCCUUUAACCAUUGACUUCUGAUCAGAGUUAUGCUUCGUGUUGGAACUUGUGAAGCUUGGUGAUCAGAGUCAGAGGGAAGCUUGGAUCCUCUGACCUUCGUAACUUCUGCUUCUGGACCUUCAGAGCUUCUGAACCUUCAGAGCCUCUGGUCCCUCAGAGCUUCUGGUCUUCAGAUCUUCUGAUCCUCUGAUCUUCUGAUCCUCUGAUCUUCAGAUCCUCUGAUCUUCAGAUCCUCUGAUCUUCAGAGCUUCUGAUCCUCUGAUCUUCUGAUCUUCAGAACUUCUGUUCUUCAGAUCUUCUGAUCCUCUGAUCUUCUGAUCUUCAGAACUUCUGACGAAUAUAUCUUCUGGUGUCAGAAUCAGAACCUGUUUGUCAAAACACUCAAGACAAACAUUAGAGUAUCAUAGUUGUUCAUCCACAAAUAAAUACUUGUUAUCAUCAAAACAUAGAGUUGUACCACAUGACCAAAUCUUGAUCUUACAAUCUCCCCCUUUUUGAUGAUGACAAAACCAUGUAUUUUGAUGAACAACUCUAAACAAAUAAACUGAAUACACUCAGAGUAUAAGGUAUCAGAGUUAAAACUUAUCCUGAUGUGUAUAGUUUAUCUUGCUCCUUCUGAAUCCAAGACUCGUGCUUGAUUCUGAGCUAAGCUCCCCCUGAAUCUAAUACUUAAUAUCAACGUUAGUAAUAUCUAGAUUCUGAGCUUAAUAAAAUAGGAGUUGUCAAGAUACUAUAAGUUCUCCCCCUUUUUGUCAUAAGCAAAAAGAAUGAAGGUGGAGGGAAAAAAAAUAGUAAGAGCAUAAGACGAAAUACUCCCCCUCAGAAGGAAUACCAAGGGAUUCUUGGCUUCUGAUUAGCAUAUCUUCUGAUGAGAGUAGAAGUGUGGUUCUGGUGACAUCUCCGUUCUGGACAAAAUUUCAUCUUCAGAUACUUCAGAAUGAGAAGCUAGGAACCUACUCUUCUUCUGAUGACGCAAGUCAGAAGUUGUAGUAGCAUCUUCUGAUGUUGUUGCUUCUGGUUCGACAAGUUCUGAGUCUUUGUUUCUUUCUGAAACGGUCAUGCUCAUCUCUGCAAGCUUUUUCAGCUAGCUUUGACUUGAUCAAAUCUUACUCCACUGAUGCCUCCAAGAUUAACUUCACCUUCAGGUUCAAGUUUUGGAUCUUGGGACAUAUGCCUUUCUCCCAUCAUGUGUUGCUUGCAUCCACUGUCCAGGUUCCAUGGUUGGAGUUUCGAUGGACCUAUUGAAGAUAUCUGCAACAUAUAUAAUCUUAUCCCUAGGUACCCACUUUCUGGGUCCUUUCUUGUUAGUUAGCCCAGAAGCUCUGACAACUUUGGGUCUUUCAACAGGAUAAUAUAAAGGAAUUUGAGCAUGAUAUUUUGACAUAGAGAAAGUUCCUUUCUUAAGAGAUGAUGCAGCAACUUCAGAAGAUUUAGAAUAGAAAAUGCUAUAUAUUCCAUUUCUGCUUACGCCAUAGAUCAUUGAAGCCAUUAAGCUUCUGUCUACGCUUUUAGCCAGGAAUCUUUGAAAAGACUUUUCAUACUUAGAUUCAUUUCUACAAUCAGAGGCAUCACAAGCAACUAUAUCUUCUAACUUAGCAAUCUGGUUCUUAAGCACAGAGUUAGAAUUUACCAAAGCAUGAUUAUCAUUUUUCAAAACAGAAAUAAUUUUCUCAUGUUCAGACGAAGUUUCAGAGGCAGCAGAGAAAUUCUUUUUCAACCUUUUAUGCUUAGUCAAGAGAGAGUUAUAUUUAUCCAUAAUUUCAGACAAAGCAUCUUUAAGUUCAGAAGUUGAGAAAGAAUCAAAUACCUCAUUUUCAUCGUCAGAGUCUGGAUCUCCUUCUGAUUCUGAGUCAGAGUCAACAGCUUCCUUUGACUCUGCUCCUUUGUCUUUGACAAUAGCUAUGAGUCCUUGACUUUCACCAUCAGAGUCAACAUCCUCUGACUCUGAUUCGUCAAAAGUCACCAUCAGACUCUUCUUGGUCUUGAAAUGCUUCUUUGACCUUUCGUCCUUUGAUGAACCUUUGUAUUUGCUCUGCCUGUGCUUCCAGAUGCAGUUGAACUUUCUGGAUAUCAGAGUCAGCUCAUCUUCAUCAGAAUCUUCUUCAGAGGCUUCUUCUGCUUCUGCUUGGAUAGCCUUAGCCUUUUCAGAUUUGGAUUUCAAGGCUAUAGACUUCUUCUUCUGAUUCUGAUGUUCAGCACGCUUUAGUUCAUGACACUUCAGUAUGCUGAUGAGUUCUUCUAAACUCAUAUGCUCAACAUCUCUUGUAAGCUCUAUUGAAGUCACUAAAGGCAUCCAGCUUUCAGGAAGACUUCUGAUGACCCUUAUGACAUGAUCUUUUGUAGUGUAGCUUUUGUUGAGAGGUCUUAUUCCAGCUACGAGCAACUGAAAUCUGGAAAACAUAUCUUCAAUGGAUUCGUCAGUUUCCAUUUGGAAGGAUUCAUACUGCUUGAUUAGAGACAACGCCUUUGUCUCUUUCACUUUCUUGUUUCCUUCAUGAGACAUCUGCAAGGAUUCAAAGAUGCCCUUGGCGGAAUCACGAUCAGUAAUUUUCUCAUAUUCUUCAUAUGAAAUGGCACUUUGCAGAAUAGAUCUUGAUCUGUGAUGAUCUCUGAAUUCCUUCUUUUGAUCUUCACUCAUCUUCUUCCUUGGGAUCUUUACACCAUGUUCAUCGACAGGAGGGGUGUAGCCAUCAACAACAAAAUCCCAAAGAUCAGGAUCAAAGCCAAGAAAGAAGCUUUUGAUUCUGUCUUUCCAGAAAUCAAAUCUCUGACCAUCAAAGAUAGGUGGUCUUGCACUGUAUUGAUAUUUGCUUGUAGUAGUGGUGGAAUCCAUGAGUUUUUCACACUGGCCCGGAUCUACUGAACACUGUUAAGUGUGGUAAUCAGAACUUGCGCUCUGAUACCAAUUGAAGGUGUGAAAAACGACUAGAAGGGGGGGUUGAAUAGCGUUUUCAAUAUAAAAACUUUCCCCUUAAGUUUUAAAGUAAAUCUUUUCGGUUUCUCUAAGAUAGAUGGUGCAGCGGAUAAAGAUAGAGAGAAGAGAGAAGCACACAAGUAUUUUAUCCUGGUUCACUUGAUAAAUCCCUCAAGCUAAUCCAGUCCACCCGUUAAGGUGAUUUCUUCCUUCUUAGAAUGAAGGCAAUCCACUAAUCAGAUAAUUGUUACAACUGCACUUGAAACCUACAAGUGACUAACAAUACACUGACUUAGCUCACACUAAGAUUCACUCUCUUAGUCUUCUCUAGGAUCCGAUCAACCUUGAUCUCCUAAAGGAAUCACCACUAAGAUUCACUCUCUUAGUCUUCUCUAGGAUCCGAUCAACCUUGAUCUCCUAAAGGAAUCACCACUAAGAUUCACUCUCUUAGUCUUCUUAAGGAUACUGACCUACCCGGUCCCUUAAGGAAAAUCAAACAACUGUUUGAGGUUGGUGUUUACAAAGGUUUGCUUCUAAAUAAGCUGAGUGUAAACUAAAUAAGAACAGAUGAAGAAAGUAGAGGCUUGAAUCUUUUCUUGUAUUGCAGCUCUGGGUUUCUCUCACUCUUCUCGCUCUCUUUUUCUUUCUUCUUUUCUUCAGCCUUUUAUAGUCCAAGGUGCAAAGGAUAUUUCUGUUGAGAGAAUAUGACCGUUGGAGGGCAUUUCUGGAACUUCCAGAACCUGCAGUGGCUGAACUUUGGUAGGUAGGCAUUUCAGAAUAGUACACUGCUCUUGUACUUCUCGAUAGAGACAUUUGCCUUUAACCAUUGACUUCUGAUCAGAGUUAUGCUUCGUGUUGGAACUUGUGAAGCUUGGUGAUCAGAGUCAGAGGGAAGCUUGGAUCCUCUGACCUUCGUAACUUCUGCUUCUGGACCUUCAGAGCUUCUGAACCUUCAGAGCCUCUGGUCCCUCAGAGCUUCUGGUCUUCAGAUCUUCUGAUCCUCUGAUCUUCUGAUCCUCUGAUCUUCAGAUCCUCUGAUCUUCAGAUCCUCUGAUCCUCAGAUCCUCUGAUCUUCAGAGCUUCUGAUCCUCUGAUCUUCUGAUCUUCAGAACUUCUGUUCUUCAGAUCUUCUGAUCCUCUGAUCUUCUGAUCUUCAGAACUUCUGACGAAUAUAUCUUCUGGUGUCAGAAUCAGAACCUGUUUGUCAAAACACUCAAGACAAACAUUAGAGUAUCAUAGUUGUUCAUCCACAAAUAAAUACUUGUUAUCAUCAAAACAUAGAGUUGUACCACAUGACCAAAUCUUGAUCUUACAGCUACUUGUUGUUUGGGCGCUUAACGCUAUUAGGCGAUGGAGAAUAUUCGAAGGAGCUUAACCUUGGUGCAAGUAGAGAUGAGGACUUGAAGGACAGUGGAGUACUCGACGAGUAGAGUCGGGUUUAAGGCUAGAGCCUUGGGUUAGAGAGCUUACCGUUAUUGGUUUAAGCUCGCAUAAAGAUUUUAGGAAUUUAUACUUGAGGUUUCGGGUAGGUUCCGAUGCAUUGCUUUCUUGCGGUUCCCCGGUGUGGAGAUCGUAGGGAGUAGGUCGGAUUAGGAUGUCGUGGCAUAACAGAUUCCUUGUUGAAUCUGAUUUCUUUCGUUAGAUUUGUAGAUGUGUUCUUUCGUUCAUACAUUCGGGAACUUGCCUUGGUAAAGGCUUGAUGUAGAUUUUAUUUGUUGUUGGGUGUAGGAUUUACAUGUUUUGAAAACAAUUCAAAAGGAAAAAAAAAUUACUCGCUUUAUAAAUUCAUUCGGAAAAUAUUGCAUUUUUAAUUUAAUAGGUUACUAAAGUGACACCCGAAAUUCGGGGCGUUACAGUUACACUCAAGGUGGUGAAACCAAAGGGAAAAUUUAAACUUGACAUGUCUAAAUAUUAUAAUCAAGUUCCCUUGUACUAUCCUCCUGUUGCACCCAAAGUUCCGAGAACUUCUGGGAAAACUAACAAGAAAGGACCCAAGAUAUGGGUACCUAAGACAAAAAUUAUUCCUGUUGCAGAUAUCUUAUGCAGCUCAGUUAAGACACCUGUCAUGAUACCUGGACAGUGGAUGCUCGCGACACAUGACGGGCAUAAAGUCUAUAUUCCAAAAACUGAUGCCGCUUAAGUCAGGAGGAGACGUUGGCUUUGGAGGAAACCAGAAGGAAAAGAUCAUUGGAAAAGGUUCCAUAGGAGAUGGAAAAACUCCAGUUAUUAAUGAUGUACUUCUGGUGGAAGGAUUAUUGCAUAACUUGCUCUCCAUAAGCCAAAUAGCUGACAAAGGUUAUGAUGUGAUCUUCAAUCAAACCUGCGGUAAAGCUGUCAGUCAAACAAAUGGAUCUGUUCUGUUUUCUGGGAAGAAAAGAAAUGACAUCUACAAAAUCAAAUCUUCUGAACUGCUAUCUCAGAAGGUCAAGUGUCUCAUGUCCAUUAAUAAUGAGCAAUGGGUUUGGCACAGACGCUGUGAGACCCAAGUUUUUAAGUUUGGAAUAAACCGAAUAAACUUCCUUUUCACGAUUAAUUUGAUGUAACGUGAAGGAAAACCUGAACAAGUGUUUAUUGAAUGGAAUAAAUUUGUAAAGGAGAAAGUUCAGGAAAAGAUAAGGAUUGUAACAAAGUCGAUAAAAGUUAUAGCACGAUUAGUAUUCGCUUAAACCUAGGUCAAAAACGCUAGUAAAUAGCUAAUUUACUCUUUAAGGCACGAUGGAAACUAAUUCCAAAAAUCUUCAGAGAAAUGUUAGAACUUCUCUUAUUCGUCUAUAAACGAGCGUUUCGAUAUGAAACCCUGGAAUGUACGAACGACAAAUUCCAAUACUCGGAAGUUUGCCGAAACCGAAACCCUGAUAGUUCAGAAACCCUAAAAUCAACGGACGAUGAAGACUUUUUCCAUUCAGAACUUCAAACGAAGAUUCCACACGCGUACGCCUAUUUCCCCCGACAUUUCUAAUCUUUCUUCAGAACGAAGUUUUCUCAUCCGACAUCAACUGCAAAAAGUAGUUUUUCGGGUAAAAUCGAUUUACACCGACUUUUGAUCGUUUGAUUUAAUUCCAAGAAAUCUGCUUUGAGUUCUGGAAUUCUGUCGCCAGAACCUAUCUUAGAAUUCUCCGAGGAAUACGUAGGAAAAAUCGGAAUCGCGAAAUUUUCAUUUUUCCGCAUUUUCCAAAACCUAUAAAUAGCCAAGAAAUGAAAAUUUUUCAAAAACUUGCCAUUUUCUUUCCUUGAACCCGCGAACAUAGGAGAAGGAGGGGGAGAAAGUGAUUUUCGCCGAUUCUUGCCCGUUUGCUGCACCGUUCGUCGCUAAUCGAAGACUUCGAGGUAUAGAUACCAUAUCUCUCUUCUGAUCGUCAAUUCUGUCGACUUUCUCUAUGUCUUUCUGUGCUCAAAGUUUUGAGCUUUUUGUAAAACUGUCCAAAUAGCUUGAUUUUAGUGUCUAAACAUCUUCCCUACGUACCCAAGAGUACUUCUAGCAGAUUACAUUUUGCCGUAUGUCGCCGAAAUGCUGCCGGAAACAAUUUCUAUGAGAAAUACCCAUUUUUAAGCAAAGUUGCAACCUUUAAGCUGAAAAUUCACGACUUAGCUUAGCGCUAGUAGGAUUAGUCGUCAUAAACGUCGUUGUUGACGUCCCCAUCCAAUUUGUUUUUCGAAAAUCCAGUUUUGAAAUUCUGAGCUGAAAAUAAUGACCAAAAUACACCUGCGACAGUUUUCGAUCCGAAAAUUUUUCUGAGCUUAGAAUCGCCUUAGUUACGGCUAAUGAUAACCUAGGAACCAAGUUUGAUCGAAGAAAAAUCGGCCCACCUAAUUGUGCAUAGUGGCCGAGAGCUCCUCAUCAAGGGGAGGAAAAUUUCGUUUUUCGAAAACUUGUCUUAACGCGUUAGAUUGACGUACUUCGGAGUUUGUAAUGUUUCGUGUAACCCUAGUACGUAUUGUUUGCUGAGUUUCUGACUCAUUGUGAUUGAAUUCUGUGAUUUUGCUCUAAGGUUUGUUUGUUGAAACCUUGGGCUUCACUGAGCAAGCUUGUGAGCGAGACCUGCACUGCGAGACUAGAACAACUCGAGGGAACUAGAAUCCAUAUUUCAGUUUGGAAAUCACUGGCCAAGAAAUUCAUACGAGCUCUAAGGGACUCCGUUUACGUUCUAUGGGCUUUGGAAACCCUCCGCCUCCUGCAGUAGCUUCCUAGAACAUCUGAAAACUUCAACAAGUUUUGUGAUGGCAGGAAACUAUUGCUAUGAAACUCAAUGUUCAACUGCUGUAAUUUUUCAUUUGUUGUUUUGGAGUGAUCAACAGAACGACACCUUGCAGUCGAUCCUGGUGAGUACCAAAACUAUGCUUAUGAUUUUUCCUCUUUUUUCAACUGAGCUCUCAUCUGAUGAAUAUUGUUAUGAUUUUUCAAGGUCUAUUAGUGAGGACUCUCUUAGAAGGUUUGUACAGUUUGCAAGUGAAAGUCACUUGCAAAUUAUUGGCAGAUUUAGACACAUACAAAGGAAUUAUUUGCUGUUUAUUUUUAUAUUUUUGUUGGUUUUACGACUGGACCAUGUUUAUCAUUUAGUUCCAAACCUUUCAGUUUCUCACUUAAGCUAUUUUUUCCUUCAAGGUUAAUAGCUUUCUGAUGUCUAUCUUUGGUAUUGUUGGUAAGUUAGAGAGGCAUGGGCAAUAACUUACUAAUCUCCUUUCCUACUUCCUGAAGAGAAUAGAGGCCAAGCCCACCCUCCAUCCACACAACAUGGACAAGCUGUGCCUCUGCCGGAAAAUAGAGGCUGGACCUGGUCGUAAAGUAUGAGGUAGCCUAAUUUCCUGCUUGGCGGAGCUUAUCUCCAAGGACCUGAAUUGAUUUUAAAUUUCAGAAGUCACAUGAAAAGAAUUCAACAACAGAUUAAGAGUGCAUGAAACAGAAAUGUAACAAAAAGAAAGAGUGCACGAAACAAAAACAAGUAGAGCAGCAUUUGGAUAUUCAGAAGCUAAUAUCAUAUGCGUAUCAAAAUAAAUCAGUCAUCUCUGUGAUGGUUGAUAUAUUAAUUCUUGACAUACAGUCGUUUAUCUUUUGAUUUGCAGAUAUUUACGUAAUUUGAUCUA